GGAUUUCUUCGGGGCAGGGUGAAAUUCCCAACCGACGGUAACAAGGAGUAACUUGGAGUCCGUGACCCGUUGAUGUUGUAAUCAACGGCUGAACCAGUGUAAGUCUGGAUGGGAGAAGAAAUAA
This 124-nucleotide non-coding RNA is filed under the name Limosilactobacillus frumenti. RNAcentral's name for it is "Lactobacillus frumenti FMN sequence". It matches the Rfam family "FMN riboswitch aptamer (RFN element)". Rfam says of the family: The RFN element is a highly conserved domain that is found frequently in the 5'-untranslated regions of prokaryotic mRNAs that encode for flavin mononucleotide (FMN) biosynthesis and transport proteins. This element is a metabolite-dependent riboswitch that directly binds FMN in the absence of proteins. Lineage: Bacteria; Bacillati; Bacillota; Bacilli; Lactobacillales; Lactobacillaceae. The record is from RNAcentral. RNAcentral also lists the same sequence under 1 other name.